This 499-nucleotide ribosomal RNA is filed under the name uncultured bacterium. Its description in RNAcentral is "bacterial SSU rRNA". It matches the Rfam family "Bacterial small subunit ribosomal RNA", at positions 8 to 518 of the family's 1533-position model. The record is from RNAcentral.
AGAGUUUGAUUCUGGCUCAGAACGAACGCUGGUGGCGUGUCUUAUACAUGCAAGUCGAGCGAGGCAGCAAUGCCGAGCGGCGAACGGGUGAGUAACGCGUAAGCAAUCUGCCCCAUAUCAGGAAAUACCCGUGCCAACGCGCGGUUAAUGUCCAGGAGAGUGGCCCUCUGCAUGGAGGGUUGACUAGAGAUUUAUCGGUAUGGGAUGAGCUUGCGUCCGAUCAGCUAGUUGGCGGGCAACGGCCCACCAAGGCGACGAUCGGUAGCCGGCCUGAGAGGGUGAUCGGCCACAUUGGGACUGAGAUACGGCCCAGACUCCUACGGGAGGCAGCAGUAGGGAAUAUUGCACAAUGGGGGAAACCCUGAUGCAGCAACGCCAACCGUGUGGGAAGAAGCAUUUCGGUGUGUAAACCACUGUCAUGAGGGAAUAAGGCCCGCUUUCGGGCGGGAUUGAAUGUACCUUGAGAGGAAGCACCGGCAAACUUCGUGCCAGCCGCGGC